Molecule: non-coding RNA, 437 nt
Organism: Callorhinus ursinus (northern fur seal)
Lineage: Eukaryota; Metazoa; Chordata; Mammalia; Carnivora; Otariidae
Source: RefSeq, a predicted model, not a curated record
GAUGAAUGAAAACAUUCCUGGCAGAUGCUGUGGGGACCAAAGGAAAACAAUCACCAAGUGCCUCUCCCACAGAAGCAAAACAUAAACAAAGCCGACCCACGGAGAAAACGUUAAGUACCGGGAGAACUACACAAAGCCUGAGGCUGAAACGUCAGGACAGGGGGAUACAUCCAAGGACUCAUUCCGUGCACCUACAACCCAAAGUCCAACUUGUGAUGAGAGCACGCAGGAUCUAGCAGGAAACCCCUCCAACGCAACGGCGAUUGGGCUUCUUUAAGAGGGAGGUACUUCCAGCCUCUCGAAGGACCACCCCCCUCGCUCAUAUUCGCCAGGGAGGCGUUCGUGACCAGGUCUACAUUCGAGUCACAACACCGGAGUUAAAAAAACGCUCGGAAGGCUAUUUAAAUACUCCGAGCCGGGUUCUGCGUAUGCCGAUG